CCAAUAGCGUAUAUUAAAGUUGUUGCAGUUAAAAAGCUCGUAGUUGAAUUUCGGGAUUGACACAUCGGUCGUGCCUUAAGGGGUAUGAACUGGUGUAGUCAAUUUCUCACCUUCUGGAGAACCGCGAUGCCCUUAAUUGGGUGUCGCGGGGAACCAGGACCUUUACUUUGAAAAAAUUAGAGUGUUUAAAGCAGGCAUUUUGCUUGAAUACAUUAGCAUGGAAUAAUAAAAUAGGACGGCAUGAUUCUAUUUUGUUGGUUUCUAGGAUCACCGUAAUGAUUAAUAGGAAUAGUUGGGGGCAUUAGUAUUCGAUUGUCAGAGGUGAAAUUCUUGGAUUUAUUGAAGACUAACUACUGCGAAAGCAUUUGCCAAGGAUGUUUUCAUUAAUCAAGAACGAAAGUUAGGGGAUCGAAGACGAUCAGAUACCGUCGUAGUCUUAACCAUAAACUAUGCCGACUAGGAAUCAGACGAUGUUAAUUUUUUAAUGACUCGUUUGGCACCUUACG
RNAcentral lists this ribosomal RNA (506 nucleotides) under uncultured Glomeromycotina. Its description in RNAcentral is "partial small subunit ribosomal RNA". It matches the Rfam family "Eukaryotic small subunit ribosomal RNA", at positions 591 to 1092 of the family's 1831-position model. Lineage: Eukaryota; Fungi; Glomeromycota. The record is from RNAcentral.